UAGUUCUUCCGCAUGGUAGAACUAUUAAAGAAUUUCGGUCAUCGAUGGGGAUGCGUUCCAUUAGAUAGUAGGCGGGGUAACGGCCCACCUAGUCUUCGAUGGAUAGGGGUUCUGAGAGGAAGGUCCCCCACAUUGGAACUGAGACACGGUCCAAACUCCUACGGGAGGCAGCAUG
Molecule: ribosomal RNA, 175 nt
Filed under: uncultured bacterium
Lineage: Bacteria
Description: partial 16S ribosomal RNA
Rfam family: Bacterial small subunit ribosomal RNA
Source: RNAcentral